UGAGGAAUAUUGGUCAAUGGGCGCAAGCCUGAACCAGCCAUCCCGCGUGCAGGAAGACGGCGCUAUGCGUUGUAAACUGCUUUUCCAGGGAGAGAAACUUGCGCACGUGUUGCGCAAUUGACGGUACCCUGGGAAUAAGCAUCGGCUAACUCCGUGCCAGCAGCCGCGGUAAUACGGAGGAUGCGAGCGUUAUCCGGAUUCAUUGGGUUUAAAGGGUGCGUAGGCGGACUAUUAAGUCAGUGGUGAAAUCCUGCAGCUUAACUGCAGAACUGCCAUUGAUACUGAUAGCCUUGAGUUUGGUUAAGGUAGGCGGAAUGUGUAAUGUAGCGGUGAAAUGCUUAGAUAUUACACAGAACACCAAUUGCGUAGGCAGCUUACUAGGCCAUAACUGACGCUCAGGCACGAAGGCGUGGGGAUCAAACAGG
RNAcentral lists this ribosomal RNA (425 nucleotides) under uncultured prokaryote. RNAcentral's name for it is "bacterial SSU rRNA". It matches the Rfam family "Bacterial small subunit ribosomal RNA", at positions 355 to 776 of the family's 1533-position model. The record is from RNAcentral. RNAcentral also lists the same sequence under 1 other name.